Molecule: ribosomal RNA, 498 nt
Filed under: uncultured bacterium
Lineage: Bacteria
Description: bacterial SSU rRNA
Rfam family: Bacterial small subunit ribosomal RNA
Source: RNAcentral
GAUGAACGCUGGCGGCGUGCCUAACACAUGCAGGUCGAGCGAGAUGUAUAUGGACGAAACUUCGGUCUAGAAAAUAUAUUGACAGCGGCGGACGGGUGAGUAACGCGUAGGCAACCUGCCCUUAACACAGGGAUAGCCUCGGGAAACCGGGAUUAAAACCUGAUAAUGCCAAAUAGUCACAUGGCUGUUUGGCCAAAGAUUUAUCGGUUAAGGAUGGGCCUGCGUCUGAUUAGUUUGUUGGUGGGGUAACGGCCUACCAAGACUACGAUCAGUAGCCGACCUGAGAGGGUGAUCGGCCACAUUGGAACUGAGACACGGUCCAAACUCCUACGGGAGGCAGCAGUGGGGAAUAUUGCACAAUGGGCGAAAGCCUGAUGCAGCAACGCCGCGUGAGCGAUGAAGGCCUUUGGGUCGUAAAGCUCUGUCCUUGGGGAGAAAAAAUGACGGUACCCAAGGAGGAAGCCCCGGCUAACUACGUGCCAGCAGCCGCGGUAAUGU